GUGUUUCCAAGCGCGUGAAUGAGAGCGCGUUCUUUGGUAUUUUUCUCCGGGAAAGACAAUAACAAUUCUCCGUCUUAAAUUGUAUCGUUUAUUUACGUAUUAGGGUACCUAAGGUUUGAUUAUAAACGUUGUUUUACUUGUUUGGAAAAGUUUAUUAGUAAUGUUUGGGAUUCAUUUUGUAUGCAUUUUGAUGGAGGGAAACUGGGUGGAUUAUUGACUGAAGCACACCAACUAAACUGAGUUUUUAUGAAUAUAAAGUAGGACAUUAUCGAACAAAAGGACAAUUUGUGAUGUAACUGGGACCUUUUGGAGUGCCAACAGAAGAAGAUCAAAGAGCUGGCAUGAAGGGGACCACCAGAGCAGAGCACAGGACACAUCUCAAGCACAGGACAGAGAAAAGUUGAGGAGGUUGGAUGGUAUUCCAGUGGCACAGAUGGGAAGAGAGGUAUUCUGAUCCUGACCCACUUCUACCAGAACACCAAGGACUUUGUUAUGAAGGGCACUUUUGAUGUCGCAAGCGGGAGUUUCUGAAUGGAAAGAAGUCAAACAUUGAAGCCCUCCGCUUGCCCCUCCAUCUUCAACUUUGAGGGUUACAGUGUGGGGGUUAUUGACCGACCAUCAUCGACAACAUCGACAACUUCAGUGUCAAGGAAUGAACGGAAGAGGCGG
This 669-nucleotide long non-coding RNA is filed under the name Salmo salar (Atlantic salmon). Its description in RNAcentral is "lncRNA (ENSSSAG00000096727.1, ENSSSAG00000121277.1)". Lineage: Eukaryota; Metazoa; Chordata; Actinopteri; Salmoniformes; Salmonidae. The record is from RNAcentral.